This 1058-nucleotide unclassified non-coding RNA is filed under the name Hevea brasiliensis (rubber tree). Lineage: Eukaryota; Viridiplantae; Streptophyta; Magnoliopsida; Malpighiales; Euphorbiaceae. The record is from RNAcentral.
GGAAACGGCAAUGCUUAUGUUUAUGACCUUGGUAGUACACACGGGACAUUUGUUAAUAAAAAAGAGGUGACAAAGAGAGUUUUUGUGGAUCUCCAUGUUGGUGAUGUCCUUCGAUUUGGACAAUCAUCACGAUUAUACAUAUUUCAAGGACCAACUGACUUGAUGCCACCGGAAGCUGACCUGAAGAGGGUAAGACAAGCGAAGAUCCGGGAAGAGAUGCAUGACAUGGAAUCAUCACUUCUCCGUGCAAAACUGGAAGCAUCUCGUGCAGAUGGGAUCUCAUGGGGAAUGCGUGAUGAUGCUAUUGAGGAGAACGAGGAUGAAGUUGACGAAAUAACUUGGCAAACUUACAAGGGACAGCUUACAGAGAAGCAGGAAAAAACACGUGAAAAAGUUGUGAAAAGACUUGAAAAGAUUGCUCAUAUGAAAAAAGAGAUAGAUGCUAUUCGGGCCAAGGAUAUUUCUCAAGGUGGAUUGACACAGGGACAACAAACUCAAAUUGCUCGUAAUGAACAGAGGAUAUCACAGAUAGUGGAAGAGCUUGAAAACUUGGAAGAGACUUUAAAUGAGAGUAUACGGGAAAGUCUUGGUGCACGCACUGGAAGGACAUCCAAUGGAAAGAAAAAGGAGCCUGAAGAAGAGGAGUUUUCAAGUGAGGAGGAUGAAUUCUAUGAUCGCACACAGAAGCCUUCAAAGAGAAAAGUUGGCGAAAAUCAAUCAAUUGAGACAGCUGAUUCUCUUCUUGAUAAGAAGGAUGCCAUUGUCAGGGAAAUGGAAGACAAGAGAAAAUUAUUUCUUGAUGAAAAGGAUGGUACAGGUCAGGAAAGUGAAAUGGAAGACAAGAGAAAAUUAUUUCUUGAUGAAAAGGAUGGUACAGGUCAGGAAAGUGCAGUUGAAGCUGGAGAUGAACUAGAUGCUUACAUGUCUGGCCUUUCAUCUCAGCUAGCUCUGGAGAAGGAGGAAAAGCUUCACAAGGAACUCGCUACUCUCCAGACGGAGUUGGACAGGGUACUUUACUUGCUUAAGAUUGCUGAUCCUACUGGUGAGGCUGCUAAAAA